UGCAAUACCUAAAUUGUUAAUGAUUUGAUUUAUUUAAUUCAAUUUUUUUUUUUUGUUAUUGGUGAAUUUGAGAUACAGAUAAAUUACCGAUAUUCCCUGUUAAAAUAGAAUAUCAAAAACGUAGUAGAUAGAUUUAUCAUACAUAAAUAGAUGUUAACAUGUCUUAAAUAUCUCACCGGGAAUGGAUCAUAUCUGACAAGAGAAUUUAGUUCCUAUAUUUUUUAAUAUCCUUGUUCUCUUAUUGAACAUGUUGAGAUACAAUUAAACCUUUUGUUUCGCUAGCUUUUAAUCCAAAACGUCUAUCAAUGCCUCUAUUUGCACCAAUGUCGGAUGAGAAGAACGCUCGUUAAAUCUGUUGGUAAUAUAUUGAAAUUUUAGAUUAAAAAACAAAUGGAUGAACCAUCGAUAGCCUGAAAACUAACUUUUACUUACCUCAUAAUUUUUAUUUAACGUUAAAUUCACUCACAAAGUAACAAAAAAUCUAGAAAAAGUAAAAUAAAAACUUCCGACCGCUCGAGAUUGUUUUGAAAACAAUUAAAAUUUUGUUUUUUAAUUCUGGUAUUCGCUAGUGCACGCAAAGGAACUUAGCGUGCAGCCAGAAAUUACAAUUAAUAUCAUAAAUAUAUGACUUUUAAUUUUCUUUUUAGUUAAAUUAGAUGUGGCUUUAACACCAAAGCUUAAAUUCAUAGUAUUUUCUUACAGAAUGCUUAUAAAUACAACGAAAAACUGAAACCGGUAAGCUUCGAUUUACAUUUGCGUGUUAACGGCUAUCCCUAGUAGUAGUAUAAACAAACUUCGUUGUCACUUCACUUCGCUCGAGCCAGGGUAAUUAAGAUUAGUGUUUACAGAAUGCCAAUUCAAGGUCAUUCUAUUGCGAAUGCGAAGUGAUGGAGAAUUUCGUAGUGAGAUGCGAGUUCUUGUUUGACUUUUAGAGAAUCGCAAGGCUGCCGUGCGAUUCUGUAAGCGUUGUUUAACAAACUCGCACGUGAAUUUGGUGUGAGUUUUCAAAUUGGCAUUCUGUAAAUUUCAUUGUAGUGCCGAAUCUACACUAGCGCCCCUCGCGGGUGAAUUGAACUAGCAAGCGUGAGUUUUUUUUACUAAAAUGUAUGAGUUGACGUUUGAAACGGCAUUCUGUAGUGUAAAUCACGUCGAAUUUCGGCAAGAACUUCGCAUCGCAAAAUCAUUUUAUUUGUCAAAUCAAAAGUUAGUGUUUUAAGUGUUUGUUGUGAGUGAGAAUAUACGAAAACGUUAUAAACCGCUGUUAAUUAUUAAAAAAAUACUAUUAAUUAACAAAAUUGCACUUUAAAAUAACUUUAUUCUUCAUCGAUAUUUUAUGGAGCGUAUGUUUUUAUUGAAAACAUUGUUGAAAGAGGCUGACGCUACGGAUCAGCGUGAAAUGCGUCGACCAGCCUAUGAAAUUCACAAUUUAUUACUUUUAACUUGAGAUGACGACCAUGUAAAAGUAUAAAGAAAGUGUAUAGAUUGUCGAAGGAUCAUAUGAACCAGUUAGGGUGUGAAUUACACCCUUUGAUGAAGACCACUAAAAGCCAUUGAAAAGGACUUUCAACUCUUAUAAAGUUUCAGUUAUUGUGCACCUUGUUAUUUUUGGCCAAUUGAAGUUACCAAAAAAAUCAUAAAAGAAAAUAUAAGAACAUAUUUGUCCCAGACAUCCCAGUGUAUAUCUGAGGUUGUGGAGGCUCUGAACAACCCAGCAACUAUAUAUAAAUAUUUAAGAUUCCCACAGAAUGCUCAAGAAUGGCAAAAGUUGAAGGAAAAGCAAAGAAAAAAGAAGGUGGUUUAAGCUAAAUAAAAGAAUGUUUACUUCAUAAAAAAUUACCAAUAUUAAUGAAAUGCUAAAUAUUGCAGUUUUUAUGAAAAAUUUAGAAUCCUUUGGGUUAUUGGGUGUAUUGAUGGGAAGUUGAUGGCCUUAAAAAGAUCUGCUACCAAUAAAAAAUGGUUUUACUGUCGCAAAGAAUAUCAUGCAAGAAAUGUACAAUUUGUAAAGCUAUUAAUAUUUUUCGAAAUUCUGAUAUGUAAUCCAUAAACGAAAUGUGUAUUAAGAACCUAUCUAUUCAGAUUGUAUUCAUUUCAGUUAAAUUGUAAUUGUGUAUAUUGCUAUAAGUUAUUGUGAAAUUUAGUAUUUAUCUUAAAUAAACUUUAUUCAGUUAUAAUCAAAACAAAAUAAAAUUUAGUCAAUGACAGCAAGUAAUGACCAUUAUAAUUAUUUAACAUCUUUUCGGGCCUUCUGUAUAUUGUCAACGUUCCAACCUUAUGACACCUUUUGCUAAUUUUUUUUUCAUUGCUUAGAUCGGUGGACGAGCUCCCAGCCCACCUGGUGUUAAAUGGUUACUGGAGCCCAUAGACAUCUACAACGUAAAUGUGUAUGGACUCCAAUAUCUACAAGGUCCUACCACCAGUAAUUAUACAAAUUAUACCACCCACCCACCUUGAGAUAUAAAUUCUAAGGUCUCAGUAUAGUUACAACAGCUGCCCCACCCUUCAAACUGAAACGCAUUACUGCUUCACGGCAGAAAUAGGCGAUAACGCUAUGCUAUGCUAGCUAAUACCUGCUAAUAAUAGCUAGCUAUUGCUAAUAUGGAGGAAGAUACUCCUGAAGCUUUGUAGCACCGCCUUCAUUCCACUGCCCGUAACUCAGUGGAAAGAACAAUAGGUAUAUUAAAGAGUAGAUUCAGGUGUUUGCUGAUCUACAGGGUGCCAAUUUACCACCCUGAUAAGGUAGCAAAAAUUGUUGUUGCGUGUUGUGUUUUGCACAACAUUUUCAAUUGUGCAGAGCUGCCAGUUCCCAUGAUUUCAGAUGAUGAGAUUACAUGUACAUUAUGGUGGUCAUGUUGAAUUACUUUGUUAAAUUCUACUAAUUAGCUAACUUAUAGUGUGAAGUAACUUCAAAUAUAAAUUAAUGAUUUAUAAAAA
Bombyx mori (domestic silkworm) is the source of this 2931-nucleotide long non-coding RNA. RefSeq lists it as uncharacterized. The record is from RefSeq and is a predicted model, not a curated record. Lineage: Eukaryota; Metazoa; Arthropoda; Insecta; Lepidoptera; Bombycidae. The transcript is spliced from 2 exons.